UCCCUGAUGGCUCAGUUGGUAAGGAAUCUGCCUGUAAUGCAGGAGACCCCAGUUCAAUUUCUGGGUCAGGAAG
Non-coding RNA from Bos taurus (domestic cattle), 73 nucleotides. The record is from Rfam. Lineage: Eukaryota; Metazoa; Chordata; Mammalia; Artiodactyla; Bovidae.